Molecule: ribosomal RNA, 497 nt
Filed under: uncultured bacterium
Lineage: Bacteria
Description: partial 16S ribosomal RNA
Rfam family: Bacterial small subunit ribosomal RNA
Source: RNAcentral
GAUGAACGCUGGCGGCGUGCCUAAUACAUGCAAGUCGAGCGAACAGACGAGGAGCUUGCUCCUCUGACGUUAGCGGCGGACGGGUGAGUAACACGUGGAUAACCUACCUAUAAGACUGGGAUAACUUCGGGAAACCGGAGCUAAUACCGGAUAAUAUAUUGAACCGCAUGGUUCAAUAGUGAAAGACGGUUUUGCUGUCACUUAUAGAUGGAUCCGCGCCGCAUUAGCUAGUUGGUAAGGUAACGGCUUACCAAGGCAACGAUGCGUAGCCGACCUGAGAGGGUGAUCGGCCACACUGGAACUGAGACACGGUCCAGCCUCCUACGGGAGGCAGAAGUAGGGAAUCUUCCGCAAUGGGCGAAAGCUUGACGGAGCAACGCGGCGUGAGUGAUGAAGGUCUUCGGAUCGUAAAACUCUGUUAUUAGGGAAGAACAAAUGUGUAGGUAACUAUGCACGUCUUGACGGUACCUAAUCAGAAAGCCACGGCUAACUACGUG